Long non-coding RNA from Amphimedon queenslandica, 265 nucleotides. RefSeq lists it as uncharacterized. The transcript is spliced from 2 exons. The record is from RefSeq and is a predicted model, not a curated record. NCBI's taxonomy places the organism in Eukaryota, Metazoa, Porifera, Demospongiae, Haplosclerida, Niphatidae.
AGGCUGGUAUUCAGUGACAGUAUUGGAUGCUACUGAUGGUUCAAUACUAGUCCAACACAUACUCUCAUCUCCUCCUUUAUCCAAACCAGUCAUUAGUGACUUCACUGAUGAUUCAUCCAAUGACAUUAUAAUACAAACACAGCAUGGUCUGAUAGGAUUAUCACUGGUCCAUAGAUCAGGUUUCCUCCACUCCACUAUACUGUCAUUGUUUAUUGGGUUCAUUAUUGUCCUGGUGGCUGUGUACACUAGACAGAGAACUGGUUUC